CAAUAGCGUAUAUUAAAGUUGUUGCAGUUAAAAAGCUCGUAGUUGGAUUUCUGGUCGGAAGCUCCUGUCCUCUGAUGAGCGUACAAGUGCGUCCUACCAUCCUUCUGUUAACCUUUAAGGCUUUCGCGGCUUUCUAGGGGCUCAGAUAUUUUUCCUUGAGAAAAUUAGAGUGUUUCAGGCAGGCUAGCGCCGGAAUACAUUAGCAUGGAAUAAUGGAAUAGGACUUUUGCCUCUUCUGUUGGUCAUGAGGCUCGAGUAAUGAUUAAUAGGGAUAGUUGGGGGCAUUAGUACUUAACUGUCAGAGGUGAAAUUCUCGGAUUUGUUAAAGACUAACUUAUGCGAAAGCAUUUGCCAAGGAUGUUUUCAUUAA
RNAcentral lists this ribosomal RNA (370 nucleotides) under uncultured eukaryote. RNAcentral's name for it is "partial 18S ribosomal RNA". It matches the Rfam family "Eukaryotic small subunit ribosomal RNA", at positions 592 to 976 of the family's 1831-position model. The record is from RNAcentral.